UGAAUGCAUAAAUUACAACUCUUUUGCAAACUGGAACUUGGGAAUUAGUUUCACGUGAUCAAGCUCAAAAUAUUAUAGGUUAAAGCUAAUGGUACCAUAAAUCGUUACAAAGCAAGGCUAGUUGCCAAGGGAUUCAAUUAAUGUCCUGGCAUUGACUUCACAGAAACUUUUUCUCUAGUAAUUAAACCAGCAACUUUUCAUAUUAUUCUCUCCAUUGCUGUUACAAAUCAGUGGCCUAUAAAGCAGUUGGAUGUCUCUAAUUCUUUUUUACAUGGUGACUUGCAUGAUUUUGUUUUUAUGUCUCAACCGCCAGUUUAUGUUGACAAAGAUUGACCUGAUUAUGUUUGUAAACUCCAACGAUCUUUAUAUGGCCUUUGGCAAGCCCCACGACAAUGGUAUCAGAAACUUCGUAUGGCCUUAAUGAAGCAACACUUUUGCACUUCUAAAGUUGAUGCAUCUCUCUUCUCCUACAAGAAGCAAAAUCUACAAGCCUUUUGUCUUGUUUACGUUGAUGACAUUAUUCUAAAGGGUAAUAAUGCUGCUUUCUUAUCUACUGUCGUUCAAACAUUGCAAAAGCAAUUUAUGGUGUGUGAUUUAGGCCUUAUGGAUUACUUUCUCGAGCUUGAAGUGGCUUGUACUGCCAAUCGCAUUUUGCUUUGUCAACAAAAAUAUAUUCAAGAUCUUCUUUGCAAACUAUGUUCCUCUACUUGUUUGAAUCUUUAUGAUGGCACUCCUAUGGACAAUCCUAGCCUAUAUCGCCGUAUUGUAGGCAGUCUACAAUAUAUCUCUCACUCGGUCAGAUGUUGCUUAUGCCAUUAAUAGAGUCUCGCAAUUUCUUCAUGCUCCGAGGGACACGCAUUGGCAAGUUGUUAAGCGAAUUCUUUGCUACUUACGAUCCACCAAAGCAACUAGUUCAAUGAUUUCCAGAUCCGACAAUA
Molecule: unclassified non-coding RNA, 938 nt
Filed under: Hevea brasiliensis (rubber tree)
Lineage: Eukaryota; Viridiplantae; Streptophyta; Magnoliopsida; Malpighiales; Euphorbiaceae
Source: RNAcentral